Long non-coding RNA from Cydia splendana, 354 nucleotides. RefSeq lists it as uncharacterized. The record is from RefSeq and is a predicted model, not a curated record. The transcript has 3 exons. Lineage: Eukaryota; Metazoa; Arthropoda; Insecta; Lepidoptera; Tortricidae.
ACGCUGGCUAAGCCUAGUUUCUAAACGUCUUGAGCUGUUCGUUACUAAAUAAUGAAAUACUUGCAAGUUUUUAUUCUGGGUUUCCUUGUGAUACUUUCCUUUGACUAUGGUGAAAGCAUACCGCCUAGGCCCGAGAGUUAUGAGGAGUGGUAUAAAAGUAAGGUAUUGAACUGCACACCUGGAUCACAAAUAUUGGGUUACAACCAAAUGGAGUCUUGUACCUGCGAAAGUCCAGGAGUCCUCAGCCACUGCGUACAUAUUCCGCCAAUGCCUGGAGUUCACUACUAGACAAUGUGCACGGUGAUAAUUACCCUUAAAGCUUAUUAAAGGCGAUUACAAACUUUUAAAAAUCAA